AAAAUUUAAAACAACAAGAAAGUAACUUUGAUUUUGAAAUCUUUAGGAAGUUGGUGGUUGUGCAAACCAACGUUUUCAGCAAAGUGAAUGGGCUUGUGAUUAACUAAUAAAUUUGAUUUAAAAAAAUAAAGAAUCACGGCCGCUUCCGUUACAGAGCAACUUGUUUUUUGACAAGUUCUAAGAAAAUCAUUUGAUUUUAAAUUUACGGUGGCACCGCGCUCAAAGCGCCCGUAGG
Regulatory RNA element from Lactococcus lactis subsp. lactis Il1403, 235 nucleotides. It matches the Rfam family "T-box leader". Rfam says of the family: Uncharged tRNA acts as the effector for transcription antitermination of genes in the T-box leader family. T-boxes are found upstream of many aminoacyl-tRNA synthetase genes and some amino acid biosynthetic genes usually in Gram-positive bacteria. The record is from Rfam. Lineage: Bacteria; Bacillati; Bacillota; Bacilli; Lactobacillales; Streptococcaceae.